AAAUGGUCAGUUGGAAGGUGAACUCAGCUGCAAGAAGAUAAAGCAAGCGUGCUGAUCAGUGUGAGAAAGAAGUAAUGGCAAUGAAGUAAGGUAAGAUCACCCUAAUCUGCACAUGGCAUACAAAUACAAACAGUGACACAUGCAAAUAACGUGCAAAAGGGAGACAGACACCAGUGACUCUUAGAGGACAAAGCAGAGGAACAAAUUGGCAUUUUAUCAUAAACAAGUCAAGCCUCCAUCUUAAAAUGAUGCAUUUUUAGCCUCCAAAAAGAAAGUUGCAGGUGUGUUCAAAAGCAUAAGAUUGAAUACAAAAGCUAAAGCUAACAUUACACAAGGACAAGGUUGAACGAUACAAUAAAUAACGAAAACAAUGCAUAUUCUCUAUAAGGCAGAAUGUGAUCCAAAAAUCUUACCGAGAUACUCCCUCCGUUAUAUAAUGUUUAGAGCAAGCUAAACGUCAUAUAUUUAAAAACAGAGGGACUAUCAAAAUAAAAUCUAGUCAGGGGAAAGAGGAUUUCAUUCACACAACGAGUAAGCGCAUCACACAAUCAAAAUUAUGAUAACAUGUUAUAAUUGACUUUGCUGUGGCCUGUGGGGAUCUCCCCCACAGUUCUUCCAUCAACAAAAUAUAACAGGCAAAUACAGAAGUGCUGAGAUUGCAACAGACAGUGCAUGGGCAAUAGGGUUUCAGGCAAUUACAGAAUCAUAAGAUCCUGUCUUUGAUUUUCAAUAAAAGCAUAGAUUAAUCAUGUCUCUAAAAAAGUUGGUUAUCAACCAUAUAAUUCAAUCCCAGCAAUCACAGCCUUCAAGAGUCAGACCUAGUACUCCUAAAUGCAUUAUUAUAGCCAAUGUUGUCAACAGCAAAAGAAAAUACAAGUUAACUGCAUCCAUAGCAUACCUCAAAACGCAUGUGCCUUUUUUCCAGUAAUGAUUUGGGAAAUAUGAAGUCCCCUGCUGAAGGCUUCAUUGAACAGGAUCCUUGUUUGCAUUUCCUGAAGCCCAGGCAACCAUGACAACACAGCCACAGGUGCAAUAACAAUUACUCCGAACAAUAUAUCGUACAAACGUGCUACAGUCACCACAGUUUUCCACACUAUCUCAGACCUCCUCAGAUAUGGCUUGAAUACCAGAGCAAUAGAUAUGAUUCCCCAGCCAGUUGGCAGAAAAGCCAAAAGACUAGUAAAAGUAUCAACAAACUGAAACUUUGUGAAUUUUAACAGCACAACAAUAGCAGCCACUGUACCACCAACAAUGAUUGCCUGGACAAGACGAUACCGUAUGUGCUUUUUUGCUGAAUAUCUGUCUCGAAAAUAAGCCACUGUCACCAGAGCCACAAAAGCUAGGAGAAUGCAUGCCCAUGAUAGAAGAUAGACAAGGAUGCUUCUACUCUGACCAGCAAUGUGAAGCCGAUAAACAAUUGCAUACUGAAAGAAGAAAAAUCGAAGGUCUAAUAUGAUUUCCAAGAUACUGCCCCAUAGACCAGUUGUCCGGAGAUGAUCAGUUUCCUCCUCCCACCACGUCUCCCAGCUUUGAUCUGACUUGACUGAGAUCCCACCCCGGAACCAAAUCCAGUUUAGAAAAUCCUCAAAGUCAUUAAAAUUCUUCAGCCAAUCUAAACCAGAAGGAUUAAAAAUGAAGGGAGCAAGAAUCCAUGAAGACACAAGAAACCAACUUGAAAUUGUCAGCAGAAUAUACACCAGCGUAUUCCCAGAGGCACUGCCAUAAGAUGCAUAAACUGUCAAUAUCACACCAAGCUCUAUUGCUUUGAUGAAAUGGCUGCGAGCAUAGAGCCUAUAGUUCUCAGCAAACUUCUUAUGCUCCACAACAAAACCUCGGCCAGUAGCCCGAUACUUCGCACCUCCAUGAAGGAUUGUCCUCCCAUAAUAGUGUGUCUUAGUUCCCAUGGAGAAGGUGUAGAAAACAGAUGCAAACUGUAGUUGCAUUUUCAUGAAAUCCCACACAGCAGUGAGGAAACCAUGCUCAAGUGAGUUUUCAAUAAUCAUGGGUAAAGCUGUGAACAGGCCAAGCUGUAUGACGAACUGCUGAUUGAGGACAGCUCCCAGGGCUGCAUUGUUAGUAGAGGAAGUGUUCUUGCUGAUGUAGUCCUCGAGCCCACUGAGUGCAAGGUAAAAGCGCCCCCAAACAAAUGCAUAGACAGUAAGCACAACCAUCAUUGUGUUGAAAUAAAAUCCGACAGUUGUAUAGAAGAAAGAAAGCAUCCGGAAGAAAUCCAAUCGGUGGCCCAGCCUGUAAACAUCUCGGCUCAAAGUUUGCUCACCAUUGCCACUAGCAACUUUGGCUUCAAACAUAGAGACCUGGUUGAGCCCCACGUCUCUACCUUUACCAACCUGAAUAUACUCAUGGUGUGUAACAUUGCCACCACGGAGGGUACAGUUGAAACCAGCGAAUAUGUCCUCACUGAUGUUGAUCACUUUUGAUGCUUUACUGAUACCACCUCGCCCCAAGAACCAAAGGCGAUCAAAGACGUCGGGGUGGCCAUAAUGCAUUCUGACUUUAAGUGGAUCAGCCAGAACACGCUGCCCCAGAGUGACAAAACUUGUUUCCUGGGCAGACAUGAACCAAGCAAGAGAAGAAACAGAACCCGUGAACACAUGUUCCCGAACUCCAAGAAUUUUGGGCUUGCGAAUUCCAUAAUAACGAUUGAACUCUUCUAGCAGGUUUCUCAUCUUUAGAGCCUCUUCAAAGUAAUUAUCUUGGUUCAUAUCAAUCGUUUGAACCGCAUCACCCCUUGUGAAGAUUAGUGCAUGAUUCUGAUUUUCCGGUUUUCCUUCACCAAGCUUUAACUCUCCAGGCAACUUAACCCUGUAAAUUUCAACCUCCCGCUGCAGUAGCUGAUCGUAUUUCACAAGAACAGAGAAGUACUCUGUUUCACCACCAUUGUUCUGCCUUUCGUCAACAUAGGCAACACGUAAUGCUUCAUAAUUUUUCAUUAGCUCCAAUAUUUCAAAAGCACGGGGGUCAUUCUUAGCUUUCUGCUGACCAUAUAUCUGGCAUGCAACUACAUAUGUGUAUUUCAUGAGGACAGUCCCAUACUCACUUCCUUUAAACAAGGAGCUCACACUGCUGCUUGCUCUGCUCAAUGCACGUGAGGAAGAUGCCCUGCUGUAAUAGCCUGACCCACCAGCAACCCCAUCAUGCCUCGAGGAUCCAAUUCUUGAAGAACCCAUAGUAGCUAGCUCCCUUGACCCAGCCUUUAAGUCAUGUUCAGAGGCGGAAUCCAGAAAGGUCAGCAUUUUGAGAGCUUCGUAGUAGUACAUCAUGCCCCUCACUGUACGUGAUAAUGUCUGCCCCCUGUAUGAGACCCAGUGUCGAAGAUCUCUCAGCCUUUCCUUCUCGCUGUACAGCUCCUUAAUAUCAGACAUUCCCUCACGCUUCAUUCUCUCCACGAAGUACUCCCACUCAUCUGGGUAAAUCUGUUGUAGAUAGUAUAAGAUUGAGAUGCCAUCUUCGUUCUCCUUAUAGAGCUGGUCCUUGCUGUACAACACCUCCUCAUUAUAAUAAGGAGUCAAGACACUGAAAGCCAUCAUCUUCUCCACUUGGGUUGCCCUGGGUAUGUUCAUAAACAAUGAAUUACUGAAAAAGGCAAUCCUUCGACGAGCUUCCAGGUUCAUUGGCACAUUGAUCAUAGAGUCCCUGGAGGUCAGGAUGGUGUGCAUGCGCCUCACUUGCUUAUAGAAGGUAGCGUUCUCCUCUCCAGGCAGCACAACUGCAUCCACAAAGAGAAGGCUGGUGGGCCUUGACUGUGCAAGGCCUUCAUUUCUCAGUUGUUCCAUGCUCCUCUUCUCAGCCUGGAAAUCACGAAUGACAACGUCAUAGAGAGUCUGCAAGGCAUUGACUAUCUUGGUAAAAUCCUUGGUGGGUUUGAGAAGUAGGCUCAACAGAGCUACAAGCCUUGUAUGGACAUUAUGCAGCUCAGUCAUCUUAUACUCCACAGUGAACUUCUCUGUUGCCAUGGAUCCAUCAAAAUCGUUGAACAAUUGUGUAACAAUGCCAUGUUCCUCAGUCCCCUCCUUGAUGAUCUCAAGCAGCAAGUGUUUUGCACUAUCAUAGACCUCAACCACUGCACAACGACGAUAAUCGUUCUUGCAGAUCUUCCUCCAUAGCCUGCGAUCAGGUCCUUUGACCUCCUUUGCCUGACCAAGUGCAAGAGACAGCUCAUUACAGAGCAAGAAACAAGGCCAGCGGAUUACACGCACAUUCCACAGCUCAGGCGGCAGCUCAAGGAGCUCAACCUCACGAUCACUAACAAUGUCCUCCUCCCGGAACUUGCUUAUUAUUUCAUUCCAAACAAGUGCAAAUCGCCGUGCCUCCACCUGAUUUGACUCAAUCUUCCGGAAUGAUCGGCUGAAACCAUACCUUAGCUGUACCCGCUGCCAGAAAUUGCGAAGCCGGUUGGGCAAGAAGCUCUCAUUCACCUGCUGCUCCUCUGGCAUGAUGUUGAAUGACAUGGCACUUGCAAAGAACUGGAACCGAAGCCGCAGCUGUUUCAUGUCCCUGAUCUCCCCCAAGUGUGCAAAAAGCCCCACAAGUGCACCAGUCAGAGAAGAAAAGAUAGCAUACCAAAUCUGGAUAUCCAUGAGGUAGAUCAACACCACUGGUAACCAGAGAACAAACACUGCAAAUCGAUUGCUUUGGCCAAAGAACUCAUGCCAAGUGUACUUGAUUCCACUCAGCUUGUAUAUCUCUUUUGUGGGUUUUACAAGCGGCCUAAUUUGGAGAAAAUAGCUGAAGGCAAACUUCACGGCAAGCAAAAGCACCCAAAAGAAGGAGUACUUAACAUUGUCAAUGGUGCUCUCACGUAAUCCUCGGCCAACAAAGCUGCGGCUAUGGAACCACCAGGUGAGGGCGUAACAGAUUUUCCAGUUGGUCUUCUCCAAUGCAUUCCGCACCCAGGGCACAAUGAAGAGCACGAGGGCAAGGACCUCAGGGAUAACAAACAAUGCAGCUGCAUAGAGGAACCUCAUGAUCCGUGAAUUAGCAGCUGACGACCACUGUCCAUUGCUUCUCCUCUGGUCCCAGAUCCCCUUGUAUAGGACAGCAAACGCAAGGACCCAUGCUGCUGCAGCAAUGACCUUGAGCACCAUGCGCACAGCAAGCAUGCGACCAUCCCUGAAGGCACGGCGGAACUGCGUGCCGAUGUCCAGCAAGGACUGGAGGAAGCGGAGUGCAGCCCAGGUGAUGAAAAUGGUGAGCACGCGCACCUGUGUGUCCUUGGACCUUGAGCCCUGGGACGAGAUUAGAUCAUCCCAUGGCCACUUCGCGCCCUCCCACGCCACGAUGGCCGCAGCUUGCAGAUAGAGCACCAGCAUCACCCACAGCCUGUCGAAACUCCGAUAAAUGUUCCAGAAGGAGCGGACCUCGACGAAGCCCGUCUUGCGGACGCGGGUGCGGUCGGGUGGGGUGCGGAAGAACUGGCGCGCCUGCUCCAUGGGCCAGCCGAGGCGGUCGAACACGUCACGGCGCCAGAAGUACUCGUUGAUGUCGUCGUAGUUCCUCCAGGCGGCGUGCGGCGCGGUGCCACCGCGGCUGGACAGGACCUCUGCGCGGAUGACGCCGUAGAUUGGCGUGACGACGCGCGUGAGGAAGGCGUUCUCGCCGUGCACGGCGGGGUUGGCGGGGCGGCCCGUGGCGACGUCGGUGUAGCCCUCGAGGAUGCGGUGCAGCUCGAGCGCCAUGUGGUGGUAGAUGUAGCAGAGGCACUCGGGCACGAAGCGGAGGUUGGCGGCCUCGCCCCAGACGAGGAGGUACAGGCCGGUGAAGAGCAGAUCGGCGCGCGGGUCGCCGUCGGGGACGUGGACGUUGGGGCGGCGGCCGAGGAAGCCGCACCAGGAGGUGUAGUUGCGGAGCAGCUUCCUCCGGAUUUGGCGCGCGAUGCGGGGGUCGAGCGUGUCGGAGAAGUCGGCGGAGGUGAGGUGCAUCUGCGCGUUGGCGAGGAGGAGCACGAGGUGCUCCCGCUGGUUCCUGACGUUGUCGCGCUGGAAGCCGAAAAAGGCGCCGAGCCAGUCCAUGAUGUCGUGGUCGGCGCGCCACUGCGAGAAGGGCGGCGGGCGGAGGCCCCCCACCGCCCGCAGCGCCGCCGCGGCCGCCCGCACCUCGGGGAACCGCAGCGACGGGUGGUCGGCGAGGAGAUCGUGGAUGGGCAGGAUGUUGUAGGGCUCGCCGCCCGCGGCCGCCGCCGGGGCGGCCGCGCGGCGCUGGGCGGCGCGCGGCGUGGUCAUGCUGGCAUUGGGUGGGCGUGGGGCUGGGGUAGAUCUGGAGGCGGUGGGGUAGGAAGUCGAAGGGGGUGGGAGCUGGAAGGAAGGGGAAGGGUUUGGGGAUGGUUUGAAAAUUGAAAUCCGGGGCGGCCGGCGUGGGGAAGGGGAUGAUGGACUGUGGAGUGCCGGGACAGGGGAGCGGAGGAAUUGAGAAAGCGCAGCGCAGGCGGGCUGGCGGGGUGGACGGGCGUGGGGGUGCUGCGCCGCGCUACGCGGCUGGGGUGGGAAACGCGAAUACGACGCGACCCAGGGGCCGGGGCGGGCUCGCGUGCGUGACUAGCCGAAAUCCAUGGACCGGUGAAACGGCGAUCGUGGGGCCCAGCUCGUGGUUUUGGAAUCGGUUUCAGGGUUUGUUUGGGUCAGAAACCUUCUCAAGGAAGUGUUGAGAUUUCCAUUCCUCUCUCCUAGCUGCGGCCGAAGUUUAAUCCGUGUCAUAUUGAAUAUUUGGAGGCUAAUUAGAAGGAUUAAAUAUAAAUUAAUUAUAAAACUAAUUACACAUAUGGAGGCUAAACGGCGAGACGAAUCUAUUAAGCUUAAUUAAUCCAUCAUUAGCAAAUGGUUACGGUAGCAGCACAUUGUCAAAUCAUGAACUAAUUAGACUUAAUAGAUUCGUCUUGCCGUUUAGCCUCCAUCUAUGCAAAUAGUCUACGUUUAAUACUCCUAAUUAGUAUCUAAACAUUCAAUGUGACAUGAACUAAAGUUUAACCCGGGGAUUCAAACACCCCUUAACUCCAAACGUAAGUGCCAUCAAUGGCUAGUAAUAGAUGUUCAUUUACACUUUUGAUUCAUAUAUAGGGUUUAUAUACUUUAUAUUAAGAGAAGUAGGUCCUUGCCUGCCCGUUAUAUCAAAUGAGCAGCUCUUUUUUUUUCCUUUUUUGGAAGAAUUAAAUUAUCUUGUAUCUGCUUCUCCAUGUAGUAUAGGACAAUUCUAUUGCGAACCGCGUAUUUAACAUGUUGUCGAUCCUUGGCAUGACUAGCUUCCAACGCACGAUUAAAAGCUGAUGGUAAUUAACCAUCGCAUUUGCUUAUCAAAAGGAUGGAAAUUUCCUGUCAGAAUAUGCUCUCUUGCGCUACAGAUCGAAAAAUCGAUACUUUCCAUGGAAACUGUUGACUUUCUUUUACCGUGUGCCGCGUUCGCCGCAUCUACCAUCUCAUUUUUGUGUUUCUAAUCGAAUCCGUUGCGAUAAAGAAUCACGCCUUCUAUUACGCGCAAAGUCCAAGUUGGAACGCGUACUGCUGAAGGGAUACGAAGGUUGGAGUGAAUUUGUAGUCCCUCUCAGGUACUCAUGUUUUCUACGAAUUGAAAUUGAAUCUUACGUAACCGAUGAGUCCUAAUAUUAUAUGUUUUAGAAAAAAAAUCAUACUGCUCUCAAAUAUAUCAAAAGUGCGGAUAAUCCCUAAGUUGUUUUUGGUUCCUUUAUUUCUAAACUAUACCAUUCGGUUCUAUAUACCCCUAAUAUAAUUUGUAUUUUUAUUUCUUCAUACACAAGUUGAAUUUUAAUUUCAAAUUUUGCAUCGUGGUAGUGGACAUCACAAUGCAUGUCAAAAACUAUAUUAUGAAUUUUUUAUCAUUUUUAUAUAAAUUUGUACCCCAAGGAUUAUUUAUUAUUAAAUAUCCUACGCUAUCAAAAUAAUGAUAAAAAAUAAUGAUAUAUUUUUCUAACAUGUGUUUAUGAUGUCUCAUAUUAUCUCCCAAAAUUUUAACUUAAAAUUCUACUUGUGCAUGGAGGAAAAAAAAGAUAAAUUGUAUUAGGGGAGGAGCUAAAGUGAAUAAAAAAUAGUUUAGGGGUUAUACGAAUAUUGGGUAUACUUGGGGAAUAAUUUAAAAAAAAUUCAAAGUAUAAGAAUUUCAUGGUGUCAAAAAUGAUCAAAGAAAGGAUAUUACAGUUUUACAUUCACGCAUAGACACAACAUCAUGAGAUUCAUGGGAAAGCAAGAUUGCCAUGACUGCAGAUUGAGGGUUCAAGGUGCAAUAUAAAUAGCAUGCCGGGAGGCAUACUCUGAUUUUGUAAUCAUGUCAAUGCAUAUUUCAUAUUUUUAUUUUUAAGGAUACCACGUAAGUAAGAUGGCAUUCAUUUCAUUGCUGAAACAGUUCUAUACAAUAUACAAGUUUCAUUAUUUUCUUAUUUCAAAAACUACACGCAAGAUAUAGUUUAUAUUGAAAAUAAUGUAUACAAUAUUUCAUUUAGGAAAAACUCAUUCCACUUAUCUCCACAUUAGUUUUUUAUAUUAUUAAAUGGUGACGUGAUAUUCUAUUUAAUAAGAGUAACCCAUAUGUAUGGCGCCGAUCAUUCAAUAAUAUUUAAAAAGAUUGUCAACCAACAAAACUACAAAGCUAGCGAAGGUAAGGCAGGCCCAACUCUACACGGUGUGUAGUGGCCUCGCCUUGUGUCGUACGUACCUCUAUGGUCCACCAGAAGAUUGGACAGUCCUAUAUACAGAGUUGGACACCGAAAUGUGUCACAUAUGGAAAUUACGAUGCAGAACGAUAUGGUCUACGUGGUAAGAUAAGAACUAGUCGAGGAUUAGGAAACUACUCGUAGCAAUUAGAGUAGGACUCACUAGUCGAAUCCGACUAGUAUUCUUAUUCUUGUAAAUCAACCGACCUGUAACCCUGCCCCCAACAAUAUAAGGCAAGGCAGGGACCCCCUCCAAAGUAGUUCAAUCCAAUUCAAUAUAACCAACACACAGGACGUAGGGUAUUACGCAAUCUAGUGGCUCGAACCUGUCUAAUUCAUAUGUUCGAGUUCACCAUCGAGUUCCUGAUCUCGGCGAGCCUCACGCACUAAACACUACCUCGGGCACCCCUUCGGUAGGUUGCCGGGUCUAAACACUGAUAGCUGGCAUGCCAGGUAGGGGCUUUCGCUGAGAAUCCAAUAGCGAACUCGAUGACCCAAGUCAUCAUUAAGCCCACCGCCGCGUUCGAAGCGGGCGCGGCAUUCAAUUUUAGCUCCUGGGUUUGCAUUGCAGACGGCGCUAGAAACUUCCACCACCAUAUUGCACCAGCCCUGGAGAAGAAGCAGCACACCAUCAACCUUCACCGCCAAACUCUGGAGGAUCUCGUUGAGAAAUUUGGCAAAUUUUCAAUUUCUGAUCUAGUCAGAGGCUGAGGGAACAAGUUCGAGUACAACUCGACUUCUCCUGCAAGUCGAACUGGUUUUCAUGUGUCGGCGCUUAAGCCAUUGUGGGAAUCGGUCUACGACCCAAGUCGAUUCCCGUUCGGACUCCGAAGCGCGGGUGCCAUCUACCAGGCCACCCCUUCCAGAUCACAAUUCAAUUCGGAUUUGAUUGAGCACCUCAACUACUACACGGAUCCGGAUGAGAAGACUCUAUUAUCAGGUCCACAACAAGGCCUGGUGAGUACAUCAACUCCACAAGGCAGAUUCGUCUACUGGCCCAGCAUGAAGCCACCUGUUCUUGCCAAGGACGACGAGUCACGCCUUAUCGCCUACCUGGGUAUCCUCCCGUACCAGGAGGGAACUCCUCUAUCACCUAUCUACGAAGAAGACAGCUCCACAUAGGUUAUCACGUCAAGUUGGGGAAGUUAUUCUCCGGAGCGGGAACUCUUCGCCCUUGAUGCGCAAGAAGGCGAAGAUGAAGAGCAACCAAAAAGGAAUUCACGACACGAACGUCACCCAGAUGACGUCUCGCGGGAUGAGCUCACCGCUAACGUCGUCGGAGAAGAAAAUGAAACUCACAAAACUCCAUGGCGAGUAAGAAACGCUGCAAGAGUAUAGCGCCACCGCCGCCUCGUAGCUGACCUGCCAAUCAUGAAUUAGAUCGCGCAUUUAAAGCAGUUCAAUUGCGUCAACACAAUACUCCUCUAGCCAUGGUAGCGUCCAUUGAUCUGAUUACUCGGGUAACACCACAAAACAAGUACACUAGGCAACUGGCUGAGCUGGCGGAAUGUGCGUAUGAGCAACUCGAUUAGCAAAACCUAAUACAUUCAGUUCCUCAUACCCCAUCCCUGCAUAGCCGUAGUCAUAGACGCACUCAGUCUAGACCAAGUCGAAUUGAGGGCGCCAGACCAAGCCAAGUCGGAGCAGAGGGUAGUCAGGUGGAACUCUCGGGAGGCCGUGACCAUUGUGGGCCCAACCCAAAGCCUGAACAGCCAGUACGUGACCUCCAUCACAAGAUCAACAACAACCGUGACGCCCGUACAAUCAUUGAAGGACGUCGCCACGAGCACGAGCAAGAAGUCGAGUACCAGGGAGAGGAUUCUGAUGGGUUCCCCGCUGUAACGGCCCUGGUCAAAUCCGCCGAGUUAAUCUCAAUCCUAGUCCCUGAUCCCCCUAUCUCAGCUCCCUCGAGCUUAAGUGCUCAACCUCCAGUUCCGGUCCCGACCCCUGAGAACCCGACCCCUUUCCGCCGGUUCCCAGCUCCGACCCCUGAAGACCCCCAACCCACCCCGCCAGUUCCUUCUAAGUCUCGCCAACAGUGUCCCCUUCAAUCUUGGGCAGAGGAGAAACUGAGACUGACGGGUGGACCCACAAAUCUUUUCCCAGAUCUCCCGAGACAGACGCACUCGAGCGGCCUGCACCACUUCAGAGUUCCCCCGACGCGUGGCUCAACUCCUCUGACCCUCGCCGCUCCGCCCAGACGUGGGCCGCGAGCAGAUGGUUUCCCGCGCCUUCCUCCCCAAUCGCAGCGGAAGCCCCUCUGCAACCUUUCUGCAGCAUCCCGUCUCGCUCGCGCCCUCGCCGGCCGCGCUUUGGUGCUCCGUUGCCGCUGUGGCAGAACUUUGCCGCUUGCUGCAUCAGACCACCUCGCGACUCAUGCCCAUCAUCACCGCGCCGGACCCCCGGCUGCAAGGCCCGAUGCCUUCCGGUUUUUCCGCCGCCUCUCCACAGUCGCGCCGCCCCGGACUGCGCUACACGACGAUUCCUCCGUCACCAAUCCCGACCCCGGCUGCAACAGCUCCUUUUCCGCCUUGCCAGAACUACGCCCCGGCAAACCACUGCUUCGCGCUCGCCCGCGCAGCCGCAGCCCGCCUGUCUUAUCACCUGUGCAACCUCGCUUAUAACGCCGUUCCCCCUGUCACACCCAUCAGAUCCGCCGCACGAUGACGCCCGCCUCCGCCAAACCGCAACCACCGGCAAAACCGCGCCUGCGCCGCCUUGUCUCCAUGCCCAAUGGCCAAAGGCAUCAUCUCCGAAGUCCUGUUCCACCGCCCAUCGCUGCUCAAUCGCCGCCAUGGUAGCGCACUCCAUUCUUUUCCUUCCUGGUCUUCGUGCUGCUCCAGCUCUCUCUCUUCCUGCGCAGCUAUAAAAGGGAACGCCCGAGUCCUACCGGAGUUCCCUUCGCCAUCGUUGCCAUACCGCCUUGUUCCCCUGUUUCGUGCUCGAGCGUUGCCACCUAAGUUCCUGAGGAACUCUCCUCUCCGCUCAACACCCGCCUUUCCCAAUCCACCCAGUCGCUUGCUCCUCCACGCUGUGCUAGAGCUUGCUUGUUGUCCACAAGAAGCACCGCCGCCGCCGGAGUACCGCCGGACAUCGCCGCUGCCCAAGUCCGCUCCUUCCCGAUCCCAAAGCUUCACCUAUAAACCGAAGGUAAGCUGCCGACCAUUUUCCGUCUCGCCCGACCCUCUCUGUUCGUCCGACCCCUUUUUCGUCUCGCCCGACCCUCUUUGUUCGUUCGACCCUUUUUUUCUGUCUCGCCCGACUAUGUCUGUUCCGUCCGACCCCUUCUCCGUCCCGCCCGAUCCUGUCUAUUUCGCCGACCCCUUUUCCACCUCGCCCGAGGACUCGGCUGUAUCUUUUUCCUUGACCAGAGGGUAUAUGUGUAAAAAAAAUCGGGGACUUCUCUACGUUAAGUCUGAGGAUCCCCAGCACAGCUAUUCCUCUAGUCUAAGGGUUAGAUCAUGAGUUUCUUCCAACCCAACCCUUGGUCUUGUUCUUUGUCCACUGAAGCUUGAACCUCCACACUUUUUCCGUAGCUUUUGCUACAAGUUUCUGGGCUAAAACUUGCGAGUGUUGCUGUUGAAAUAACCGUCUAAGUGCUAACUCCUGCUUUUGCAUUCGUGUAGAGUUGAAUCUCGCCGACGGCGUCUACGAACUGCACCCGGUGCCAGAAGACGGAGCAGUAGCUGAGCCGCCGACCGCAGGAGCUUCAGCAGAACCCUCAGAGGACCAGUUUCCCUCCCCUCCGCUUGAAGGCAAGCCCCGGAGCAUGAGCCCAACUUUCUAAACUUACCCAUGC
RNAcentral lists this long non-coding RNA (12473 nucleotides) under Setaria italica (foxtail millet). RNAcentral's name for it is "long non-coding RNA (SITA_LNC003909)". The record is from RNAcentral. Lineage: Eukaryota; Viridiplantae; Streptophyta; Magnoliopsida; Poales; Poaceae.